GAUGAACGCUGGCGGCGUGCCUAAUACAUGCAAGUCGAGCGAACGGACGAGAAGCUUGCUUCUCUGAUGUUAGCGGCGGACGGGUGAGUCACACGUGGAUAACCUACCUAUAAGACUGGGAUAACUUCGGGAAACCGUAGCUAAUACCGGAUAAUAUUUUGAACCGCAUGGUUCAAAAGUUAAAGACGGUCUUGCUGUCACUUAUAGAUGGAUCCGCGCUGCAUUAGCUAGUUGGUAAGGUAACGGCUUACCAAGGCGACGCUGCAUAGCCGACCUGAUAGAGUGCUCGCCCCCACUAGAACUGAGUCACCGUCCAGACUCCUAAGGGAGGCAGCAGUCGGGAAUCUUCCGCAGUGGUCGAAAGCCUGCCGGAGCAAUGCCGCGUGAGUGAUGAAGGUCUUCGGAUCGUAAUACUCUGUUAUUAGGGAAGAACAUAUGUGCAAGUAACUGUGCACAUCUUGACGGUACCUAAUCAGAAAGCCACGGCUAACUACGUG
Molecule: ribosomal RNA, 497 nt
Filed under: uncultured bacterium
Lineage: Bacteria
Description: partial 16S ribosomal RNA
Rfam family: Bacterial small subunit ribosomal RNA
Source: RNAcentral